CAUUGUCUAUCUUCUCAAAUUUCAAACAAACUAUUGGGGUUAUCAUCACACUGGGUUAAAAUAAACACUUUGCGCCACCUAAUUCAAAGUCAAAUAUCCGCAAUAGAUUUGCUUUUGCUUUAGGUGUUCUAACCAUAAAAAAGAAAAGAAAAAAAUAAUUAUUUUUAUUAUUCUUUUGGCUGACAUUAAUCAGGAAAUGAUACAUUUUCAACC
Molecule: long non-coding RNA, 213 nt
Filed under: Gossypium barbadense (sea-island cotton)
Lineage: Eukaryota; Viridiplantae; Streptophyta; Magnoliopsida; Malvales; Malvaceae
Description: long non-coding RNA (GBAR_LNC022187)
Source: RNAcentral